Gallus gallus (chicken) is the source of this 1383-nucleotide long non-coding RNA. The record is from Ensembl. NCBI's taxonomy places the organism in Eukaryota, Metazoa, Chordata, Aves, Galliformes, Phasianidae.
AUAAUGAGGCUUUGAAAGCCCAAGAAGAGGAACUUGGGAUCAGCAGCUUCUGUGGGACAUUCUCUGAGAUUGGGGGACUGCUUGUACUAAGCUUUAUAGUGGACCUUCACGUUCUGAGUUUCUGAAAUGUUGGUGAUGUCUGAGAAAGGGAAGAUAAAUCAUGCUGCCACUGCUCUCUGCACACCCACCUCUGCAAAGUAUCUACACUUCUAUGCUGACAGAGGCAAGCAGUCUGAGAAAUGAAUAGCAGCCCAGGAAAAUCAAGGAGUUUUAUCUUUAACAACAAAAGAGGAAGAUUUUGACCUGAAUCUUCAGCAAAUUCCUAUUUCCAUGGUGCCCAGUUUAAAGGAGUGUGAUACAAUCCAUUUCAAGCAAGGAAUAAGGAAGAUUCAAUUGCAAACAUAAAUAUACCCUAAACUGGUAGUCAUACUGAGAGUGCAGAGUAUGCUAUACCUCUACGGAUAGGAAAAUACAAUGGUCAGAAUUUGUGUCAUCUCAUCUGCAUAACAUUGCCACAUGUUGGAACACUUCGAUAUACUCCACAUGGGGUCAAACCUCCCUACAUGCCUCUACAAUGUGCACGUGGGCAGAUGUGUUGGCUGCCACUCGGAGGGCAAAUUUAGGCUGUAUGAACAUGCCUUCCAACCAUAAUUCAGGUUUUUGGUCAGUUAGAAGCUAGGAGUAAACACCUAACAAUGGCAAGAAGGAUAAAAUAUCCUUUGUUACUACAGAGAAAUCCAACUAGACUUUUCUUUCUAACAAAUGCAGUAAGAUACUCAGAAUCUAACACACAAGAAACCUCAAGGUUUAGUUCAGAAGGAAUGGCAAUUUGAGCAUUAAGAAAAUAUGGGCCAAUACCACUUGCCCUAGUAGUCCUAUGGCAGAAGACAUCAGUCAUGAAAGAGCUCACUUUGCUACCUUCUUCUUAAAAGCACCAAACCCUUACAAACACUGAAUGCUACCCUAUGUUUAUGAUGACUUAAUAGUAUUAGAAAGGCAAAUAAUCUGAAAGAGAGAUGGAUGUAGCCAAAUAGACUGGAAAGUCAGCUUCCUGCAAAUAUCAUAUUAUUUGGAACAAGAAAAUGAAAAAAAAUAAUAAUAAAAGUCUGUGAUAUCCCUAUAACUUCCAAUAAUUUAGAAGAUGGUAAUUUAUUCAGGUUUCUUUUCUUGGGCUUACAUAUUUGGGGUAAUGUUGAUAAAUCUCUAACUAUUAAUUACAAAUUCAAAAUGAAUCUCACUUGGUUUUGCAGAAAUCUUUUUGAAUUUGCUUUCCAUUCUACAUCUGUUUUGUAUUUAUCUCAAUUUGAUUAAAAAGUAGCGUUUCAGAACUCAGAGUUUCUGUAAAGACUGUCAACAUUCAUCAGCUUGAGAAUAUAUUCCAUG